UACGAAGGGAGCUAGCGUUACUCGGAAUCACUGGGCGUAAAGCGUAUGUAGGCGGAAAUACAAGUCAGAGGUGAAAGCCCUGGGCUCAACCCAGGAAUUGCCUUUGAAACUGUGUUUCUUGAGUAUGGUAGAGGAUGGUGGAAUUUCCAGUGUAGAGGUGAAAUUCGUAGAUAUUGGAAAGAACACCGGUGGCGAAGGCGACCAUCUGGGCCAUUACUGACGCUGAGAUACGAAAGCGUGGGGAGCAAACAGG
This 253-nucleotide ribosomal RNA is filed under the name uncultured bacterium. RNAcentral describes it as "partial 16S ribosomal RNA". It matches the Rfam family "Bacterial small subunit ribosomal RNA", at positions 524 to 776 of the family's 1533-position model. The record is from RNAcentral.